Pelobates cultripes (western spadefoot toad) is the source of this 252-nucleotide non-coding RNA. NCBI's taxonomy places the organism in Eukaryota, Metazoa, Chordata, Amphibia, Anura, Pelobatidae. The record is from the annotation of a GenBank genome assembly.
GAAAGCCUCAUAUGUCUCAAAAUAACAUGGCAGCACGGCUUAUGUUUGCAAAGCUGCAUCUGAACAGACCACAAGACUUCUGGAACAGUGUCCUUUGGACAGACAACACCAAGUGGAGAUGUUUGGCCAUAAUGCACUGCACUACUUUUGGCAAAAACCAAACACAGGAUAUCAGCACAAACACCUCAUACUAAUUGUGAAGCCCUGUAGUGGAUGAUGAUUUGGGCUUGUUUUGCAGCAACAGGACCUGGG